UUCUGUGUAUGGCACUGGUAGAAUUCACUGUGCAACCCCGCAGUCAGUGAAUUACCAUAGGGCCAUAAACAGAG
This 74-nucleotide microRNA precursor is filed under the name Cuculus canorus (common cuckoo). RNAcentral describes it as "mir-183 microRNA precursor family". It matches the Rfam family "mir-183 microRNA precursor family". Lineage: Eukaryota; Metazoa; Chordata; Aves; Cuculiformes; Cuculidae. The record is from Rfam by way of RNAcentral.